This 492-nucleotide ribosomal RNA is filed under the name uncultured bacterium. RNAcentral describes it as "partial 16S ribosomal RNA". It matches the Rfam family "Bacterial small subunit ribosomal RNA", at positions 29 to 507 of the family's 1533-position model. The record is from RNAcentral.
AGUGAACGCUGGCGGUAGGCCUAACACAUGCAAGUCGAACGGCAGCACAGUAAGAGCUUGCUCUUACGGGUGGCGAGUGGCGGACGGGUGAGGAAUACAUCGGAAUCUACUUUUUCGUGGGGGAUAACGUAGGGAAACUUACGCUAAUACCGUAUACGACCUACGGGUGAAAGCAGGGGAUCUUCGGACCUUGCGCGAUUGAAUGAGCCGAUGUCGGAUUAGCUAGUUGGCGGGGUAAAGGCCCACCAAGGCGACGAUCCGUAGCUGGUCUGAGAGGAUGAUCAGCCACACUGGAACUGAGACACGGUCCAGACUCCUACGGGAGGCAGCAGUGGGGAAUAUUGGACAAUGGGCGCAAGCCUGAUCCAGCCAUACCGCGUGGGUGAAGAAGGCCUACGGGUUGUAAAGCCCUUUUGUUGGGAAAGAAAAGCAGCAGGUUAAUACCCCGCUGUUCUGACGGUACCCAAAGAAUAAGCACCGGCUAACUUCGUG